UACCCUGGGAAUUGAAACAUCUUAGUACCAGGAGGAAACAAAUCAAGCGAGAUUCCGUAAGUAGCGGCGAGCGAAAGCGGAUAGAGUGUCCGGCCGUAUGAAUUAAAGCCGAAGAGGGUGACAGGCCCGUGUAUUAAUCGGCCGUUUAAGCGGGAGCCAAGAGUAUAAUUAUUUGAAGAGAGGUGACCACACAUCUAAGAGUAAAUAAUAUAACAUACCUAUAGUAAAUUAGUACUGUGAGGGAAAGUUGAAAGAGAUAAUAGUGAAAUAGAACCUGAAAUUUGUUAACCACAAGCAGACGAAAAUCGUCGUACCUUUUGUAUAAUGGGUUCGCAAGAUAAAUAUGUUGGCAAACUUAAGUCAAUAGACGUAGGUGUAGCGAAAGCGAGUUUUCAUAGAGCAUUAGUCAAAUAUAACCCGAAGCCAAGUGAUCUAGCCAUGGGCAGUUUGAAGUAUACCGAGGAGGUAGAUGGAGGAGCGAACCGGUGAUUGUGGCAAAAAUCUCGGAGGACCUGUGGUUAGGGGUGAAAAGCCAAUCGAACUUGUAUAGCUGGUUUUAUGCGAAAACUAUUUUAGUAGUGCGUCUGGGAGAUUCUUACAUGGUAAAGCACUGAAGAGGUUUAGGGGCUUCUGCCUACUAAAUUUAACCAAACUAUGAAUGUGUGAGAAGAAACUAUGAUAGACGGACAGUGGGCAAGAAGGUCAAUUGACAAAAGGGAAACAACCCAGAUCAGAAGUUAAGAUCAUCCAAAUAAUAUAAGUGUAAAAGGGGAUUAGUUGAUAAAGACAAUGAGAAAGUAGGCUUGGGACCAGCCAUCUUUGAAAGAUUACGUAAUAGUUCACUCAAUGAAUUUUUAAACCCCCCAAAUUUAGGUGGCUUAAAUUAUAGCAUAAAGCAUAUCGAAACUCUGAAUAUAGUUGUAGUAGCAGAACGUACUGUAAGUCGUAGGAGAAUUUGGAUAGCGAAAGCCAGUAUCAGUAGUGAUAAUGCGAACAUAAGUAACAAAACAGUGUGCGAAACACUGCUCACGGCCCAAGGUUUCCAAUUAUAGGAUAAUCCGAAUUGGGUUACUCAGCCCCUUAGAGGCUUGAAGCCGAUGGGAUAUUAAAUAAGUGGAAGAAAUUAUUAUAUAAGGCUGUACUAAAACUAACACAAGUGGGCUUAAAGUGAUGGUAGAAUUUAUUUUAAGGAACUCGGCAAAAUGUCCCUGUAAGUUAGCGAGAAGGGGAGCCGGAAGAGGCAGGGGAGUCUGGAGGCUGCUAGGGAAUUCCGGGCUCAGAUAAGAGGGGGUAUCGACUGUUUACCAAAAACAUAGCUUCCAGCAAAGGGCCGAGGGCCUGAAGUAUUGGAGGUGAUGCCUGCCCAAUGAUUGUAUCUAAACCCAAGUAAUAAAUAAGUUAAUUUGGUUAAGGACAAUUAAAUGGCCGCGGUAAAUCUGACCGUGAUAAUGUAGCGCAAUCAAUAGCCAAUUAAUUGUUGGCAAGUAUGAAUGGCUUAACGAAUGCCCCACUGUCUCAAGAUAAAAACCAGUGAAAUUGAAUUCGUAGUGAAGAUGCUACGUACAAGUUGUUAGACGAGAAGACCCUAUUGAGCUUUACUGGAGACUUGUAUUGUUCUUUUUGAAUUAAUUGUAUAAUGUGGAAGCCAGUGCGGCCUAUGAAACCACUCUUUAAUUUUCAAAGGACUAAAAUCGUUUAGUUAGAUUAAAGGUAUAAGUUAGACAGUUUGGUUGGGGCGACCGCCUUCUAAAAAGUAACGAAGGCGUACAUAAGGUAAUAUAUAAUAUAAUAAAGUCAAAGCCUGACAGCAAGGAGGACCUACCGAGCUGACACGGGAUCGUGGGUUAUAAUGACCCGUUGGUUUAGGGUGGGAUAGCUAACGAGCAACGAAUAAAAGUUACCAUAGGGAUAACAGCGUAAUAUUGUUUGAGAGUUCAUAUCGACGACGAUGUUUGCGACCUCGAUGUUGAAUUGCGGUUUCCUGGAGGUGCAGCAGCUUCCAAGGGUUGGACUGUUCGUCCAUUAAAACCGUACAUGAUUUGAGUUCAGACCGGCGUGAGCCAGGUCGGUUUCUAUCUACAAUUUGUCAGAAACAUUAGAUAUACUAUAUUCUAGUACGAAAGGAUCGAAUAAUAGUUAUCCUCUGGUGAACCAAUUGCGACAAUCGUUGUUGGGUAGCUACGAUAAUAAAAAUAAUCACUGAAAGCAUCUCGUGAGAAGUUAAAUAUUAAUCUAUGUUUCUAAGACUGUUUAAGAAUAAGACGUUGAUAGGAUCUGGGUAUACGAGCGUGCGCUUUAAGCCAAAGAUUACUAAUGUUCUAUAUACUAAUU
RNAcentral lists this ribosomal RNA (2331 nucleotides) under Petrosia ficiformis. RNAcentral describes it as "large subunit ribosomal RNA". It matches the Rfam family "Bacterial large subunit ribosomal RNA". The record is from RNAcentral. Lineage: Eukaryota; Metazoa; Porifera; Demospongiae; Haplosclerida; Petrosiidae.